CCUACGGGGCGCAGCAGUCGAGAAUCAUUCACAAUGGGGGAAACCCUGAUGGUGCGACGCCGCGUGGGGGAAUGAAGGUCUUCGGAUUGUAAACCCCUGUCAUGUGGGAGCAAAUUAAAAAGAUAGUACCACAAGAGGAAGAGACGGCUAACUCUGUGCCAGCAGCCGCGGUAAUACAGAGGUCUCAAGCGUUGUUCGGAAUCACUGGGCGUAAGGCGUGCGUAGGCUGUUUCGUAAGUCGUGUGUGAAAGGCGCGGGCUCAACCCGCGGACGGCACAUGAUACUGCGAGACUAGAGUAAUGGAGGGGGAACCGGAAUUCUCGGUGUAGCAGUGAAAUGCGUAGAUAUCGAGAGGAACACUCGUGGCGAAGGCGGGUUCCUGGACAUUAACUGACGCUGAGGCACGAAGGCCAGGGGAGCGAAAGGGAUUAGAUACCCUGGUAGUC
Molecule: ribosomal RNA, 446 nt
Filed under: uncultured bacterium
Lineage: Bacteria
Description: partial 16S ribosomal RNA
Rfam family: Bacterial small subunit ribosomal RNA
Source: RNAcentral